Long non-coding RNA from Lactuca sativa (garden lettuce), 1109 nucleotides. RefSeq lists it as uncharacterized. NCBI's taxonomy places the organism in Eukaryota, Viridiplantae, Streptophyta, Magnoliopsida, Asterales, Asteraceae. The record is from RefSeq and is a predicted model, not a curated record.
AAAAUGACCUUGAAAUAGGAGUCCAUGUGAUUUAUUCAAACUUAAUAAUGAAUGUAAAAUAAUACUCCUAUAUCAAUCAAUCGAAAAGUGUUGAAAUUCUUGAUAUAAUGCUGGUGAGCUCUGUUGCCGCCAUGGAAACGGUGGAAGAUGGACCUAAAAUUCCCGAAAGUUGCAAAAAAUCAUGGAGAAGGGAGAAGACGAUCGAAUCAGUGAGUUGCCGGAUUGCUUGUUUCUACAAAUCCUGUCUUGUUUACCCUGUACAAAAGGUGCCAUUAGAACAGGUACACUUUCGAAGCGAUGGACAAAUCUUUGGAGUAAGCUUUUCUUCUUUAGUUUUCAUACAUAUUGAGGAUAAUCAACCAUGGUCCGAUUUUGUUUCGUGCGUCGACAAAACCCUAGUUCAAUGUCGGCAAGUGAAGCUUAAGAAAUUCGAAGUGGAUGCCACUUAUGAUACUGGCUUUGAAUCGCAAGUCAACAAUUGGAUACGUUAUGCUACAAGAUGUAAUGUUGAAGAGCUUUACUUAACGUUAUGGGAUAUGGAUUCCGAAGAGGAGUGUCUGGUAGAUCAAUUUUUUAUUCAUAAGUUCAUGUUUUACUGAUUUGAGAUUAUCAGGCUGUGAACGAUAUUAUCGAAAAAUAUUUCAUCACUAACAAUCAUAGAUGAUUUGUUGUUGUGGAAGCUUUUGUUAGUAAACUUGCCUUCUUUAGUGGAAGCAGAGUUAGAUUAUACAAGGAUAGGGCAUUGGGGAACAUCGCAUAAAGAAGAUGAAGAAGAGAUGCUUAAAGGAUUUAAUACUAAACCUCUCCCAUGUCAAGGAUCUUAAAAUUGGGAUUUUCUGUUGUAUGGUUCUGAAGCGUUUGGAAGCUAAAAGGUUUCGCUUUUUCAUCAAAUAUGAAGUUUCCUGAUGGUUUUCAUUAUUGGUCUGAGAGUGAGAGUGAGAGUGAUUCAGUUGGGAGCGGAGAUUUGUAAUGAAUUGAAUUUAUGUUUUGGCACGUAAAAUAUUGUCUCUAUUUUCUCUUCAUUUUUGGUAUAUGUGGUUCCAUUGUUUCCUCUCAAUUGGGUUGUGGAUCAUUUCAUAUUUUAAGAUAUUGGUCGAUUGAUUGUUUCA